UACGGGGGGGGCAAGCGUUGUUCGGAAUUACUGGGCGUAAAGGGCUCGUAGGCGGCCAACUAAGUCAGACGUGAAAUCCCUCGGCUUAACCGGGGAACUGCGUCUGAUACUGGAUGGCUUGAGUAUGGGAGAGGAACGUAGAAUUCCAGGUGUAGCGGUGAAAUGCGUAGAUAUCUGGAGGAACACCGGUGGCGAAGGCGGCAUCCUGGACCGAUACUGACACUGAGGAGCGAAAGCCAGGGGAGCAAACGGG
Molecule: ribosomal RNA, 253 nt
Filed under: uncultured bacterium
Lineage: Bacteria
Description: partial 16S ribosomal RNA
Rfam family: Bacterial small subunit ribosomal RNA
Source: RNAcentral